CUCUCUCCCUCUCUGUGUUCUAAUAUUCUGAAUGUGUUCUCUCUCUGUGUUCUACUGAUCUGAAUGUGUUCUCUCUCUCUCUCUCUCUCUCUCUCUGUGUUCUACUGAUCUGAAGGUGUUCUCUCUCUCUCUCUGUGUUCUACUGAUCUGAAGGUGUUCUCUCUCUCUCUCUCUCUCUGUGUUCUACUGAUCUGAAUGUGUUCUCUCUCUGUGUUCUACUGAUCUGAAGGUGUUCUCUCUCUGUGUUCUACUGAUCUGAAUGUGUUCUCUCUCUCUCUCACUCUGUGUGUUCUACUGAUCUGAAGGUGUUCUCUCUCUCUCUCUGUGUUCUGCUGAUCUGAAGGUGUUCUCUCUGUGUUCUACUGAUCUGAAGGUGUUCUCUCUGUGUUCUACUGGUCUGAAUGUGUUCUCUCUGUGUUCUACUGAUCUGAAUGUGUUAUCUCCUCUCUCUGUGUUCUCCUGUUCUGAAGGUGU
This is a long non-coding RNA of Oncorhynchus tshawytscha (Chinook salmon), 474 nucleotides long. The record is from Ensembl. NCBI's taxonomy places the organism in Eukaryota, Metazoa, Chordata, Actinopteri, Salmoniformes, Salmonidae.